UAUGCUGAGGGUGCAGCCCUAAAAAGAAAAAAAAGAAAUGGUUUCCCAGUUCUGGAGACUAGAAGUCCGAGAUCAAGGUACUGGCCAGUCUGCUUCCUGCUGAGACUGUGAGGGGAGGAGCCAUUCCAGGCCCCUAUCCUAGUUUCCUGUGACUUGUUAUUAAUCUCUGUUCCUUGGUUUUCAGAAGCAGCAUCUUCCUCACUGUCUUCAUCUUCACAGUCAAACAUUGACCAUGUGGUGGUAUUUAAGGUUGCAUAUGUAUAUAAAGAAAACUAAGCACUUCUUGUACAUUUACUUUUAUGGCCUGAAAUGGUAUCUGCUACUCGGAGGGAAAAGGAGAUCUGGGUUAAAGUCAGGAGUCUCUCUUGCAGGCUGUGCGCACCACUGGGCAAUGACUCAGCCUUUGUGAACCUUGAGUUCCUCAUCAUUAAAAUGGGUAUGUUAAUAUUAGAUUUAACAUAUGAAACAACACUUUUGUAGGUCAAAAAUUGUUGAGUAUCAGCUAUUUCAUAUGAUUCAACUUAAUACCUACUUCACAGACAUAGGAAAAAACUAAAUAAGAUAAUAUUGUAGCACUGUCCCUGGUGUUUGGUAAAUCAUAAGUACAUGAUUUAUUAAAAUGUAUAUAAAUAAAACCCUAUGGCCUAAUGGUCGUAGUACAACCUAAGCUUAAAAUAUCUGCCCUCUCUGCCAUACAGAACAUGAAUUGCCUAUCAGGAGUCUUCUUUUUUCCCUCCUUCUUUCUUUUCUCCUUCUUUCUUCUUCUUCUCAAAAUUUAAUUUUUAUUCUCUUUCUUCUAUUCUUUUUAAUGUUUUUUUUUUAAAUAGCUAAUAUGCUUUUAUGGUUCAAAACUCAAAAAGUGUGUAAAAGAAAACCUCUCCCAUAGCAUCACUGUCCUUUAUCUGUCCAGAGUAUUAUGUCUUAUCUAUUUUCCUGAUAUUAAGCACAUUCAAAUGUGUAUACUGUGUGAGUUCUAAAAAUAGCUUUAAAAUAUCUGUAUUUAUAUGAAUAUGAUAUAUGCAUAUUUGUAGUCUAAGACUCAGUUUAUGAAUAAAUAGCUGAGGCCCACAGAAAUGCAGCCCCUUUGCCUGGAGUCAUUCAGAAUCAGUAAGACUUGCAUAUUAAUUAUACUUAUCUGGCACUCUAUGAGACCUCACAUUACAAAUAUUCACUUUAAAUGUAAAUAAUCUUUUUUUAGGCAAAUAAAAUCUUAUUUAUUUAUUUGUUUAUUUAUUGGCAAUGGAAGUCAGGUCAAAGUGCCUCAUUAUUCAAGCUUCGUAUUUGUGAAUUCUCCUACCUGCUAAUGAUUUACUUAUCAUCCCCAAAUAGAUAUCCAUGACAUUUUCCUAGUCAUUCCCAGAUAUGAGUAGAGGGACAAAAAAAUUUGAGUUGCUGAUUGUACACGUUCCCAGGUGAGGUCAAACAAGAUGACACUUGGCCUUCUUAUUUCAGGUCUCAUGCUAUGAACAAGAGUCCUUUUUGUGAUCUAUUUAAUGCUACAUGUUUCACAUUUCUGUGCUUUUAUUGGGUGAUUUUUGCUAUUUAAAAUGGCCCCUGUGAGUUCCCAUUGUGGCUCAGCAGUAACAAAUCCAAAUGGUAUCCAUGAGGACUUGGGUUCAGUCCCUGGCCCCACUCAAUGGGUUAAGGAUCAGGUAUUGAUAUAAGCUGUGGUGUAGGUAGCAGAUGCGGCUUGGAUUCCAUGUUACUGAGGCAGCUCCGACAGACCGCUAACAUGGGAACUUCCAUAUGCCGCAGGAGUGGCCCUAAAAAAACCAAAAAAAUAAAAGCAAUUUAAAAAUGCCCCUCAAAGAUAGUGCUGAAGUGAUAUCUACCACUCCUAAGAAUAAGAGGGCUGUGAUGUGCUUUAAGGACAAAAUACAGUGUUAGAGAAGCUUCUCUCAGGCAUAAAUUAUAGUGUUGUGGGCUGUGAGUUCAAUGUUAGUCAAUGAUAUACACUGAAUAAUGUGUCUUUAGGAGUUCUCUUAUGGUGUGGUGGGUUAAGGAUCCUGCAUUGUCACUACAGUGGCUUGGGUUGCUGCUGUGGCAUGAACCCCUGGCCCGGGAACUUCCACAUGCCAUGGAUGUGAGCUUCUCCUCCCCACCUCCAAAAGAAGAACACAUUGAAUAAUGUGUCUUUAAUCAGAAACACACAUGACACAAGAUUAUGGGUUCAGUUGAUAAAAAUUUUGUGACCUGAGGCUCAUAGGAACCUAACCCUGUAUUUCCCCUAGGAAUAGUGGUUCAGUAUUCACUAAUUCAAUGCUUGUAGCAACUUUAUAGAGUAUAACUACUACUAAUAAUGAGAAUUGAUGGUAUUUUAGAGUACAACACAUAGAAGUCAAGUUUUCCUCUCUUAGUGUCAGUCUGAUUUAAGUGUUUCUUUAAAAUUGUAGCUAUUGGAGUUCCCAUGGUGGCUCAGUGGUUAAUGAAUCUGACUAGGAACCAUGAGGUUGUGGGUUUGAUCCCUGGCCUUGCUCAAUCGGUUAAGGAUCUGGCGUUGCUGUGAGCUGUGGUGUAGGUCACAGACACAGCUCAGAUCCCGUGUUGCUGUGGCUCUGGUGUAGGCCAGCAGCUACAGCUUUGAUUAGAUCCCUAGCCUGGGAACCUCCAUAUGCAGCAGGAGUGGCCCUAGAAAAGGCAAAAAGACAAAAAUCAAAAAUCAAAAAAUAAAUAAAAAGUAAAAUGAUAGCUAUGUUACCAUAGCCCACAUUCUAUUUUUUGGCCUUUUAGGGACGUAUCUGUGUACCUGCAGCAUAUGGAGGUUCCCAGGCUAGGGGUUGAAUCGGAAGCUAUAGCCACUGACCUACUCCACAGCCAUAGCAAUGCCAGAUCCAAGCCAUGUCUGCAACCUACAGCAUAGGUCACAGCAAUGCCAGAUCCUUAACCCAGUGAGUAAGGCCAGGGAUCGAACCUGCGUCCUCAUGGAUACUAGUCAGAUUUGUUUCUGCUGAGGCAUGAUAGGAACUCCAGCUUUCUUGAGUUUAAAAAAAUAAAUCCUUUGUUGAUUGCAAAAAUGGCUCCUAAAUGCAGUUUUGGAGGGGAUGGCUUUAAAGCCAUUGUUGGUUUGAGUGGUUCAAAUAUCUUGCUAAUUUCAUAGGCUUUGAACCAAUUAUGAAGUAGAUAGUGUGGCAGUAGCUAUCAAGUUUGCAGUUUGUUUAGGAGUGUUUGUAUUUCUUUUUGGUGUUGAAGAAAUUUACAGUAAUCAUCAGUAGGGAAUUAUGAGUGCACAUCAUUGCAUUAAAACAUGGAAUUCAGCCCUACAUUGCCAUUAAUAGAAAAUGCAGUUUUUAUGUUAAUUAUAAUAAAAAGCAAGUGUUACUGAGCAAGUUUUUACUGAUUAUCCUAUGUAUUGCUAUGAUUACAGUUCCUAACAAAUAUGUUAUAUGUUAUUGAGGAAGUGGUAUAAUUCCUUGUGAUUUACUAAAAUGUAGAUACUUCCUAAAGGGACAACAUAGUAAAUUUUAUCCAUUUCUUACUGUUACUUUAUAUCAUUUUGGACCAUUGUACUUUAUAAAUAAACAUAGACAAUUUUGGUCAGUUAUACCUUACUGUGAAUGAGAUUACCAGAUGUUUUCAUGACCACAGAUUCCACCAGAAGGUAUCAGUGGCAAGAAAUGGGUUGGUGGGAGUUCAAAAGCACAUAGUGAGCUAAUCUGUGUAAACGGGCUUUUGUGGGUUGAAUUGUGUCCUUCUCAAAAAGAUAUGUUUGGAGUUCCCAUUGCGGCUCAGCAGGUUAAGAACCCACCAAGCAUUCAUGAGGAUGCAGGUUUGAUUCCUGGCUUCGCUCAUUGCAUUGAAGGAUCUGGCAUUGCUUUGAGGUGUGGUAUAGGUCGCAGAUGCAGGUCAGAUCUGGCGUUGCUGUGGCUGUGGUGUAGGCCAGCACCUGCAACUCCAAUUCAACUUUUAGCCUGGGAACUUCCAUAUGCUGUGGGUGUGGCCCUAAAAAGAAAAAAAGUUAAAAUGAGACCCUUAGCACAGGCACUAAUCUGGUAUGUCUGGUGUUCCUGCUGAGCCACAAUGGGAACUCCCUGCUAUUCUUAUUAAAAGGGAAAAUUUGGAUACAGAGAGAGGCACACACACAGGGAGAACAAAGAUUUUUCUCUUCCCACUACGUCCCUAGAAUUAUGCCCUGGAGGUACCUUGGGCCCAGCUACCCCAGUUCUCUCCCAGACAUGCCUUCUGCUUCUGCUUCUGCUUCUUGCUGGCAGGGGAUGAGAACUCUGGGAUCUCAUUGCCUUACCCUCAGCUUGUGGGACUCACAUCCCCUGUGCUCUCUGGCAAGAUGUAUACCUCACAGACCAGACCACUGUCUCUGAAACCCUGAAGUCUGCUCACUGCUAGCUUCCUCACUGGCUCUCCUGGAUCCAGACCCUUCCUAGUCGCAGGAAACAGAAGAGUCUGACUCUAACAUUCUGUACACUAUCCGAGUCUUGAGUCUUUUCCAGGCAUUGGCUUUGACAUUUCAAAAGCUUAAUCUUUUGCCUUCAGUAGACUUUUCUCUUAAACUCUCCCCUGCUUACAGUUUUGAAGUCUCUUUUGAAAUGUAAAAAUAUCAGGAAUCAAUUCUGUGCUUUCUUUCAUUUUUUUUCCUUGAGCAAUAAAAGCGAAAUAAUUAGUAGCCUAAAGGGAAAGGGUAUGGGGAGGGGUAGAGAUAACAGGAAAGAAUAGAUAGGAAAGAGGGGGUAUCAGUUAAUGUUCAAAAUACUGUCCUGCCACAUAUGUUUAUUGUUCUUUUCUCACCACAACUUCACAGCGGAUUUGCUGAGAUCCCACUCUUUUUGAAGAAAACUACUCUGGACCAAUGGAAAUGGUUAAACCAUAGGAUUAUAUUACUUUUCGUUUGUGGGCACAUCCAGGUGGAAAUAAGAACUUGCAUUCUUAUCAGCAGAAGGAAAAUUUUUAGCAUAUAGGAAGAACUAUUGUCAGCAUCUGUGGAAAAAGCCUUAGCUUUACUCCCCCAUGGAAGAAAGCCAACGAAAGCCGCCCCAUGAAUUUAACUUGAUAGAUGUUGAUUCUCUGCCUGAAGAAGAGAACCAAGCUGGGAAAGCUGGACUGGAAAGUAGGAAGAGUUUGCUUCCAUAAGACCAAUGGUCUGUCUGUGACAGACAGUGGCUCAGUUUUGACAAGCAUGUAGAGAGUACAUGCACUGGCCGAAUCCUGCAUUGGAGGUCAGAGAUAUAAAGAAUCUGUUAUUAUGCCUGCACUCAAAGGGCAUAUAGUACCAGAUACUACCUGUGUGAAUUUGCUAGAGCUACUAUAACAAAGUACCGUGAUGGGGUGGCUUAAACAACAGAAAUGAAUUUUCUCACAAUUCUGGAAGUUGGAAGUUAAAGAUCAAGGGGAAAAGUAAAUCUAAGUAGAUGUUCUCAUGUUUCCCCACUUCACCCUAGUACACUACCUCAGUGUGCUGUGCUGGGGGAGAAUCUGCCUGGACUGCGUACUGGAGGAGUUUAAGGUCUUGGAGCCUACGUGGAACAUGCCCAACUUACUGGUCACCAUUAUAAUCUCACCAGGAUACCAUAUGGUCAGUACUGUAUUAUAGGUAAUCUAAUACUAGCUACAAGAAUUUUGUUGGAACCAGUGACUCCAAGCUCCUUCUAUAUAGCAAAUCUUCAACUAGGUUAGCUACUGCAGAACAAAACUGCUUUUGGUUUUAGCUGCUUGUUUUCCUCCUCUUUGGUCACAUGGCUUAUUAUUUCUAUUUUUAUAGUCAACACUUGGCUAAAUGGCAAGUACUUGCAGGGUGUCAUUUAUCAAAAUCUGUUUUAGUUUUAAUUAAUUAGUUAAUUUAGUCUUCUUUAUGCUAUGGAUUAAAAAAACUCUUUGUAUCAGAGAGAUGGUACUUAAUAUGUUUUAGCUUUUCGUCCAUAAUCCAGUUGAUAAGAGGUGUUUUUUUUUUUUUACAUUUUAUUGAAGUAUAGUUGACUUACAGUGUUGUGAUAAUUUCUGCUGUACAACGAAGUGAGUCAGUUAUACACAUAUCCAUUCUCUUUCAGAUUCUUUUUCCAUAUAGAUUAUCACAGAAUAUUAGGUAGAGUUCUCUGUUCUGUACAGCAGGUCCCCAUUCACCAAUCAUUCCACAUACUUCAGAAUAAGAGUUUUAAGAACUAUUGUAUUUUAUGUAGAUAAUUAUGUAAUUUGCUAUUUGCAUAUGUAAGGAAUCUUUGAAUAUUCAUGAGGAAUAAAGGCUUUGAAGUCAGAAAAGGUGGGAUCCAAAUCUUGGCUCCAACACAAGAUGGUUUAGAAAUAUGUAAGAAAAAAGGAUGUAUACAUGUAUGUAUGACUGGGUCACCCUGACUGUAGAAGAUUGGCAGAACACUGUAAAGCAGCUAUAAUGGAAAAAAUAAAAAUCUUUAUAAAAAGAAAAGAAAAAAA
RNAcentral lists this long non-coding RNA (6375 nucleotides) under Sus scrofa (pig). Its description in RNAcentral is "lncRNA (ENSSSCG00060043184.1)". Lineage: Eukaryota; Metazoa; Chordata; Mammalia; Artiodactyla; Suidae. The record is from RNAcentral.